UCCCUGGCGGUCCAGUGGUUGAGACUCUGCGCUCCCAGUGCAGGGGGCACAGGUUCAAUACCUGGUCAGGGAA
RNAcentral lists this transfer RNA (73 nucleotides) under Capra hircus (goat). It matches the Rfam family "tRNA". From Rfam's summary of the family: Transfer RNA (tRNA) molecules are approximately 80 nucleotides in length. Their secondary structure includes four short double-helical elements and three loops (D, anti-codon, and T loops). The record is from Rfam by way of RNAcentral. RNAcentral also lists the same sequence under 1 other name. Lineage: Eukaryota; Metazoa; Chordata; Mammalia; Artiodactyla; Bovidae.